UGCAUCGCCAUUUCUAUUUUAU
RNAcentral lists this non-coding RNA (22 nucleotides) under Arabidopsis thaliana (thale cress). Lineage: Eukaryota; Viridiplantae; Streptophyta; Magnoliopsida; Brassicales; Brassicaceae. The record is from RNAcentral.